RNAcentral lists this ribosomal RNA (501 nucleotides) under uncultured bacterium. Its description in RNAcentral is "bacterial SSU rRNA". It matches the Rfam family "Bacterial small subunit ribosomal RNA", at positions 28 to 502 of the family's 1533-position model. The record is from RNAcentral.
GACGAACGCUGGCGGCGUGCCUAAUACAUGCAAGUUGAACGCUUGAUUUUCACCGAAGCUUGCUUCACCGAAAAUCAAGAGUAGCGAACGGGUGAGUAACGCGUGGGUAACCUACCUUUCAGCGGGGGAUAACUAUUGGAAACGAUAGCUAAUACCGCAUAACAAUGUUGGAUGCAUAUUCGACAUUUGAAAGUAUCAAUUGGUACACUGAGAGAUGGACCCGCGUUGUAUUAGCUAGUUGGUAGUGUAAUGGACUACCAAGGCGAUGAUACAUAGCCGACCUGAGAGGGUGAUCGGCCACAUUGGGACUGAGACACGGCCCAAACUCCUACGGGAGGCAGCAGUAGGGAAUCUUCGGCAAAUGGACGAAAGUCUGACCGAGCAACGCCGCGUGAGUGAAGAAGGUUUUCGGAUCGUAAAACUCUGUUGUUAGAGAAGAACGUUGCAUAGAGUGGAAAAUUAUGCAAGUGACGGUAUCUAACCAGAAAGGGACGGCUAACU